This 144-nucleotide unclassified non-coding RNA is filed under the name uncultured fungus. RNAcentral describes it as "partial contains 18S rRNA and ITS1". The stretch from base 1 to 46 matches the Rfam family "Eukaryotic small subunit ribosomal RNA", at positions 1786 to 1831 of the family's 1831-position model. The record is from RNAcentral. Lineage: Eukaryota; Fungi.
AAGUCGUAACAAGGUUUCCGUAGGUGAACCUGCGGAAGGAUCAUUAUUGAAUUAGUGAGGGCUGUCUGCUGGCCCCUUCGGGGGCAUGUGCACGUCCGAGCCGUUUAAAUCAACACCUGUGAACUCACCGUAGGCCUCGGGCUU